GUGGGGAAUUUUGGACAAUGGGCGCAAGCCUGACGCAGCCAUGCCGCGUGGAUGAUGAAGGUCUUAGGAUUGUAAAAUCCUUUCACCGGUGAAGAUAAUGACUGUAGCCGGAGAAGAAGCCCCGGCUAACUUCGUGCCAGCAGCCGCGGUAAUACGAAGGGGGCUAGCGUUGCUCGGAUUUACUGGGCGUAAAGGGCGCGUAGGCGGACAUUUAAGUCAGGGGUGAAAUCCCGGGGCUCAACCUCGGAACUGCCUUUGAUACUGGGUGUCUCGAGUAUGAGAGAGGUGUGUGGAACUCCGAGUGUAGAGGUGAAAUUCGUAGAUAUUCGGAAGAACACCAGUGGCGAAGGCGACACACUGGCUCAUUACUGACGCUGAGGCGCGAAAGCGUGGGGAGCAAACAGGAUUAGAAACCCCGGUAGUCC
RNAcentral lists this ribosomal RNA (425 nucleotides) under uncultured bacterium. RNAcentral describes it as "partial 16S ribosomal RNA". It matches the Rfam family "Bacterial small subunit ribosomal RNA", at positions 354 to 796 of the family's 1533-position model. The record is from RNAcentral.